UCUCCGUAGGUGAACCUGCGGAGGGAUCAUUACAGAGUUCUCGCCCUCGCGGGUAGAUCUCCCACCCACUGUUAUCGUUACUGUGUUGCUUUGGCGGGCCGCCGGGCCCCGCUCGGCCGCCGGCUCCGGCUGGCGUGCGCCCGCCAGAGGCCCAGCAAACUCUGAAUGUUAGUGUCGUCUGAGUACUAUAUAAUAGUUAAAACUUUCAACAACGGAUCUCUUGGUUCUG
This 229-nucleotide unclassified non-coding RNA is filed under the name plant metagenome. RNAcentral describes it as "partial contains small subunit ribosomal RNA, internal transcribed spacer 1, and 5.8S ribosomal RNA". The record is from RNAcentral.